This 492-nucleotide ribosomal RNA is filed under the name uncultured bacterium. RNAcentral's name for it is "partial 16S ribosomal RNA". It matches the Rfam family "Bacterial small subunit ribosomal RNA", at positions 30 to 507 of the family's 1533-position model. The record is from RNAcentral.
AUUGAACGCUGGCGGCAGGCCUAACACAUGCAAGUCGAGCGGUAACAGAUUGAUAGCUUGCUAUCAAUGCUGACGAGCGGCGGACGGGUGAGUAAUGCCUGGGAAUAUACCCUGAUGUGGGGGAUAACUAUUGGAAACGAUAGCUAAUACCGCAUAAUCUCUUCGGAGCAAAGAGGGGGACCUUCGGGCCUCUCGCGUCAGGAUUAGCCCAGGUGGGAUUAGCUAGUUGGUGGGGUAAUGGCUCACCAAGGCGACGAUCCCUAGCUGGUCUGAGAGGAUGAUCAGCCACACUGGAACUGAGACACGGUCCAGACUCCUACGGGAGGCAGCAGUGGGGAAUAUUGCACAAUGGGGGAAACCCUGAUGCAGCCAUGCCGCGUGUAUGAAGAAGGCCUUCGGGUUGUAAAGUACUUUCAGUUGUGAGGAAGGAGUUGGAGUUAAUAGCUUUAGCGUUUGACGUUAGCAACAGAAGAAGCACCGGCUAACUCCGUG